UGGCCCGGGGGGCGGGGCGGCCCCAAGCCAGGGUCCAGGCCCAGGAGCGGCACCGGAAGGGAGGGUUCUGGAGGCAAGAAGUCCAAGAUCAAGAGUCAGCAGAGGGGAUUUCCUCUAAGGAGCCUCAGGGAAGAAUCUGUCCCGGCCUCUCUCCUUGAUUGGAGGUGCCAUCUUCUUCCUAUGUUUUUACAUUGUCUUCUGUCUGUAUACAUCUGUGUCCAGAUUUCCUCUUCUUACAAGGGCACCAGUUAUGUUGAAUUAGGACCCACCGUAACCACCUCACACUACCUUAAUUACCUCCUUAAAGACACUGUCUAAAAAAAAAAAAAAAAAAAAAAAA
Ailuropoda melanoleuca (giant panda) is the source of this 340-nucleotide long non-coding RNA. RefSeq lists it as uncharacterized. The record is from RefSeq and is a predicted model, not a curated record. The transcript is spliced from 2 exons. NCBI's taxonomy places the organism in Eukaryota, Metazoa, Chordata, Mammalia, Carnivora, Ursidae.